AGAGUUUGAUCCUGGCUCAGAACGAACGCUGGCGGCAGGCUUAACACAUGCAAGUCGAGCGCCCGCAAGGGGAGCGGCAGACGGGUGAGUAACGCGUGGGAAUCUACCCAUCUCUACGGAAUAACCCAGGGAAACUUGGACUAAUACCGUAUACGUCCUUCGGGAGAAAGAUUUAUCGGAGAUGGAUGAGCCCGCGUUGGAUUAGCUAGUUGGUGGGGUAAUGGCCUACCAAGGCGACGAUUCAUAGCUGGUCUGAGAGGAUGAUCAGCCACAUUGGGACUGAGACACGGCCCAAACUCCUACGGGAGGCAGCAGUGGGGAAUAUUGGACAAUGGGCGAAAGCCUGAUCCAGCCAUGCCGCGUGAGUGAUGAAGGCCCUAGGGUUGUAAAGCUCUUUCAACGGUGAAGAUAAUGACGGUAACCGUAGAAGAAGCCCCGGCUAACUUCGUG
RNAcentral lists this ribosomal RNA (450 nucleotides) under uncultured Mesorhizobium sp. Its description in RNAcentral is "bacterial SSU rRNA". It matches the Rfam family "Bacterial small subunit ribosomal RNA", at positions 8 to 507 of the family's 1533-position model. Lineage: Bacteria; Pseudomonadati; Pseudomonadota; Alphaproteobacteria; Hyphomicrobiales; Phyllobacteriaceae. The record is from RNAcentral.